UUAAGUACUGCAUUAUUUACAUAAAAUGAAUUAAAUGAUGAAUUAGGCAAUCGUCCCUGGUCUCCCUUUCUCCCUUACAAAUGAUGAAUUAGACAUUUUACUUUAUCCAUGUUCCCCCUUUCAAUCAACUGAAACAAGAAUGCUAAAAAAAACAGAAAAAACAAAAUCGACUGAAACAAGGGAAAUUCUAUUCCUUCUCUCCUCUGAAAUUAAAUCCACCUCCGCCGAAACUCUUCUCACUCAAUUCGAUUGAAAGGGAUAGAUACAUGCAAAGAGAUAGAGAUAGAGAUAGAGAGAGAGAGAUCAUGGAGUUGUCUGCAAUUGGGGAAGAAGCUUUCAUCAGGGGAAAGAAGUUCUUUGUCAAAAUGGAGCUCCCUUCUCUUGUUUAAAAUUAAAUCUGCCUCCGCUGCUGGCCCCUGGAAGAACGGCGGACGGCCGCCGCCUUCACCGGUCCUCUUCCCCUCAAACGUGUUGCCCCAACUCUUCUCAAUCUAGGGUUUGCGCCGCUAGAGACAGUGGUACAUGGGAAAGAAGGAAGAGAAGGGAGUUUGGCUUGCGGUUGAGGGGUGAAGAUACGGCGACAGGUUUAGAGAGAAGACGACUAGGGUUUCGUGGUUCACAGAGGUGGGCCGCCGAAAAUUGAAGAGAUAAGGGAAAGGGGGUGGCUUGUGGUUUUGUUGUCGGAAAUUGAAGAGAGAAGGGGAAGGGGUUGGCGGUGACUGCGGCGGUGAUGGUAGCCGACAAAGAACGCCGGAGGUGCGGCAGGGGACUGUGUCGCCGGAGUUUCUAUGCUUGUGACCGUUGAAGAGGGGAGGAAAGCUAGAGAGAGAGAGGUGAGAAAUGAAGUCAAAAUGACAAAUGAAAA
This 865-nucleotide long non-coding RNA is filed under the name Salvia miltiorrhiza (redroot sage). RNAcentral describes it as "long non-coding RNA (SMIL_LNC009967)". The record is from RNAcentral. Lineage: Eukaryota; Viridiplantae; Streptophyta; Magnoliopsida; Lamiales; Lamiaceae.